RNAcentral lists this ribosomal RNA (512 nucleotides) under uncultured Desulfobulbus sp. RNAcentral describes it as "bacterial SSU rRNA". It matches the Rfam family "Bacterial small subunit ribosomal RNA", at positions 903 to 1382 of the family's 1533-position model. Lineage: Bacteria; Pseudomonadati; Thermodesulfobacteriota; Desulfobulbia; Desulfobulbales; Desulfobulbaceae. The record is from RNAcentral.
CCUUGCCAGCCCGCUACAGAAACUCAAAGGAAGUUGACGGGGGCCCGCGACAAGCGGUGGAGUAUGUGGUUUAAUUCGAUGCAACGCGAAGAACCUUACCUGGUCUUGACAUCCCGGAGACCCUUAGGAAACUAGGGGGUGCUUCCAUCUGGAAGAAUCUGGAGACAGGUGCUGCAUGGCUGUCGUCAGCUCGUGUCGUGAGAUGUUGGGUUAAGUCCCGCAACGAGCGCAACCCUUGCCUUUAGUUGCCAGCAGUUCGGCUGGGCACUCUAAAGGGACUGCCGGUGUUAAACCGGAGGAAGGUGGGGAUGACGUCAAGUCCUCAUGGCCUUUAUGACCAGGGCUACACACGUACUACAAUGGCCGAUACAAAGGGCAGCGACACUGCGAGGUGAAGCCAAUCCCGUAAAAUCGGUCUCAGUCCGGAUUGGAGUCUGCAACUCGACUCCAUGAAGUUGGAAUCGCUAGUAAUCGUGGAUCAGCAUGCCACGGUGAAUACGUUCCCGGGCCUU